CUUCUUAGGAUGCUUCAUGUCGAGAUCAAUAUUUCCUUUUAUCAAAUACUUUUAUGUUUAUGACCAAAUACCUGUAGAACUGAUGACACUUGACUGAGCCAACGCUGUAGAAAAUGGAAAAGCAAGUCAAGACUCAGUGAGACUGACAGGCGUCCGUCAUUAAAGCUGCAACUCAAGCUCAUCAUUGGAGCUGAGAGACGGCGCCAUGUGAGAAAGACUGGCAGGUCCCGGUACGAGGCGGACGGCGACUGAGACUCAGUGUAAUAGCAUUAGACCUGCACGGAGAGAAAGGAAGGCUGGCCCGUGGUAAUGAGCAAUUUCCUCUGGGUUAAAUGGUCCUUUGCUCUGCAGCAUGACGUUCCCAGGCUUUGGGCGGAUGCAUUGUGUGAGAACUGGGUUGAACUGAGUGGACGACAGAGAAAUAAUGGGAUUCAAGGACACGGCAAGCAAGCUCCAUGAAGCCUCGAGAUUUUCCCAAGGAGCGAGCUGUGCUGCUCCCAUAUUUGAUGUCUUACCGGGUUUACCGCAGCGGACAUGCAGUUUCACCGAGACAAGAGCCAAAAUACAGGAUCACACACACACAGUGUAUCCUGCUGGUUGCUACGCAUCAUCAUAACGAGAGCGAUUGAUAGAGAUGAAGAGAUACACAGCGAGAGGGGAAUGAAAGCCAUUCCUCCAGUCGGCUGCCGCUUUUUUUCAUGUGCACCAUGGAAGCACUCCAACUCCUCUGGAGCCGGGCCCCCCACAAUCAUCAGGCAUUAUAAAGAGUGAGACACAUCGAGUGCAACUGGGAUAACACACUUUUUUUUUUUAAUUGACAUCUCCGGUUGGACAACAGAUUGCAGACGGGGGAGAAACGCAGCCCUCUAUUUGGCCGCCUCCCCUCUGCAGUCCUUCAUUAUUUGAGGGCAUUAAAACCAAAUGAAUGUCUCCCAGACGGGAACUAAUCCCUAUGGCCUGGUGCUCCGUCUUGGCACCACCACCUUUGAUUAUUCAACAUCAAUCUGCCACAGAGAGAAUGAAAGGAGCACAAUCCGAUUAGUGACAGGUACACUCUCUGAGAUAACAGCAUUUGCUCCCUGAAGACGAAGCCAUCUGCUGGCCCUGGACAUGCUCUCCUCAUCCAUUCAUCCCCACCCAUCCCACCAGUGGUUUCCUAAUCAUUUCUGACAAGCCUCCCUUUGAUUAUUUAGAAACACUGAAGGACAAAAGUAGGGGUGUGUGUUCUCUCUCUCUCUCGAUUACAUUUAAUUGAAAUGUUGCUUGAAUGUUCCAAUUUUCCCAAAUUGUCUUAACAAUGUGGGGAUGACUUUUUGCCGGCAAGUAAAUUUAGUUAUUAAGCUUCUCCUGAACCUCCAGCUCUAAUAAUCCGUCUGUCUUUUCAUUGGUGGGGAAACCUGAACAGGGUUGACCUGUAGAUUGGAGCCAUCCUUCUCCCAAUCCCUCCUAUUAGCACCUCAAGGCCUUUCCUCAUCAAGCGAGUGGUGGAUUUCAUCUGGUAUUGUGCUGACAGCUCAUAGAUUAGACCCUCAAUCUCAACUACCUCCUCCCUCCCUCACCACCUCUGUCUACCUCUCCAUUGAGAGCUCCAAUCAUUCUUCUCUGGCUAAGUGUCAAUAAACCCACCCACACACACACACACAGGAUCUGAUUCCAGCCCAGGCUCAUUCAGCACUUUGUAGAAAAUGACAAAGUAAAAACUAUUAUAUUUCAAUUUAACAAUACAUUAACUUAAGCAAGAGUUUUAUUAGGGUCUAUUAAAAUGCUAUAUGCCUUGACUGGUAUUUGGAAUGUAGAGGAGUUUAUGAAGUGAAACCUGAUAUAAUUCAAGUGGCUUUUCCUCACCCUCAAAAACCAUUAAAAAAAGCAAC
Long non-coding RNA from Gasterosteus aculeatus aculeatus (three-spined stickleback), 1871 nucleotides. The record is from Ensembl. NCBI's taxonomy places the organism in Eukaryota, Metazoa, Chordata, Actinopteri, Perciformes, Gasterosteidae.